This 505-nucleotide ribosomal RNA is filed under the name uncultured Lachnospiraceae bacterium. RNAcentral's name for it is "bacterial SSU rRNA". It matches the Rfam family "Bacterial small subunit ribosomal RNA", at positions 8 to 507 of the family's 1533-position model. The record is from RNAcentral. Lineage: Bacteria; Bacillati; Bacillota; Clostridia; Lachnospirales; Lachnospiraceae.
AGAGUUUGAUCCUGGCUCAGGAUGAACGCUGGCGGCGUGCCUAACACAUGCAAGUCGAACGGACUUAUAACGAAACCUAGUGAAUUAUAAGUUAGUGGCGGACGGGUGAGUAACGCGUGGAAAACCUGCCGUAUACUGGGGGAUAACACUUAGAAAUAGGUGCUAAUACCGCAUAAGCGCACAGCUUCGCAUGAAGCAGUGUGAAAAACUCCGGUGGUAUACGAUGGUUCCGCGUCUGAUUAGCUAGUUGGUGAGGUAAAAGCCCACCAAGGCAACGAUCAGUAGCCGGCCUGAGAGGGUGAACGGCCACAUUGGGACUGAGACACGGCCCAGACUCCUACGGGAGGCAGCAGUGGGGGAUAUUGCACAAUGGGGGAAACCCUGAUGCAGCGACGCCGCGUGAGUGAAGAAGUAUUUCGGUACGUAAAGCUCUAUCAGCAGGGAAGAAAAAAAGUCCACAGGACUUUGGACGGUACCUGACUAAGAAGCCCCGGCUAACUACGUG